AGAGUUUGAUCCUGGCUCAGAACGAACGCUGGCGGCAGGCUUAACACAUGCAAGUCGAGCGCUGUAGCAAUACAGAGCGGCGCACGGGUGAGUAACACGUGGGAACGUGCCCUAUGGUUCGGAAUAACUCAGGGAAACUUGAGCUAAUACCGGAUAAGCCCUAACGGGGAAAGAUUUAUCGCCAUUGGAGCGGCCCGCGUCCGAUUAGCUUGUUGGUGAGGUAAAAGCUCACCAAGGCGACGAUCGGUAGCUGGUCUGAGAGGACGACCAGCCACACUGGGACUGAGACACGGCCCAGACUCCUACGGGAGGCAGCAGUGGGGAAUCUUGGACAAUGGGGGAAACCCUGAUCCAGCCAUGCCGCGUGAGUGAUGAAGGCCCUAGGGUUGUAAAACUCUUUCGGCGGGGACGAUAAUGACGGUACCCGCAGAAGAAGCUCCGGCUAACUUCGUGCCAGCAGCCGCGGUAAUACGAAGGGGGCUAGCGUUGUUCGGAAUUACUGGGCGUAAAGCGCGCGCAGGCGGUCCUUCAAGUCAGAGGUGAAAGCCCAGAGCUCAACUCUGGAACGGCCUUUGAAACUAGAGGACUUGGGUACGGGAGAGGUGAGUGGAAUUCCGAGUGUAGAGGUGAAAUUCGUAGAUAUUCGGAAGAACCCGUGGCGAAGGCGGCUCACUGGCCCGUUACCGACNNNCAGGCGCGACAGCGUGGGGAGCAAACAGGAUUAGAUACCCUAGUAGUCC
This 740-nucleotide ribosomal RNA is filed under the name uncultured bacterium. Its description in RNAcentral is "bacterial SSU rRNA". It matches the Rfam family "Bacterial small subunit ribosomal RNA", at positions 8 to 796 of the family's 1533-position model. The record is from RNAcentral.